This 247-nucleotide long non-coding RNA is filed under the name Cucumis sativus (cucumber). RNAcentral's name for it is "long non-coding RNA (CSAT_LNC000932)". Lineage: Eukaryota; Viridiplantae; Streptophyta; Magnoliopsida; Cucurbitales; Cucurbitaceae. The record is from RNAcentral.
AGGGAGAGCACCAUUGGCAUUUGGGAUCGCUACACCACCAUCUGGGGGAAGAAACCCUAUAGGUGUUGCAAAGGGUACUUGACCAGUGUAUAUGUUCCCUAGCAGACCAGUUAUCGGUCUCGCCGUUGGGCUGGCACCGCCAAGAAUGUCGUGCAUAUAAAAUUCAAGGACUGGCUCAUGUGCCCCGACAUUGGCAGUGACAGCUGCAGACCUAAAUGCCACAAAAUGCACUACGAUGAUCGCUGUU